GACGAACGCUGGCGGCGUGCUUAACACAUGCAAGUCGAACGGAAAGGCUCUGCUUUUGUGGGGUGCUCGAGUGGCGAACGGGUGAGUAACACGUGAGUAACCUGCCCUUGACUUUGGGAUAACUUCAGGAAACUGGGGCUAAUACCGGAUAGGAGCUCCUGCUGCAUGGUGGGGGUUGGAAAGUUUCGGCGGUUGGGGAUGGACUCGCGGCUUAUCAGCUUGUUGGUGGGGUAGUGGCUUACCAAGGCUUUGACGGGUAGCCGGCCUGAGAGGGUGACCGGCCACAUUGGGACUGAGAUACGGCCCAGACUCCUACGGGAGGCAGCAGUGGGGAAUAUUGCACAAUGGGCGGAAGCCUGAUGCAGCAACGCCGCGUGCGGGAUGACGGCCUUCGGGUUGUAAACCGCUUUCGCCUGUGACGAAGCGUGAGUGACGGUAAUGGGGAAAGAAGCACCGGCUAACUACGU
Molecule: ribosomal RNA, 467 nt
Filed under: uncultured bacterium
Lineage: Bacteria
Description: partial 16S ribosomal RNA
Rfam family: Bacterial small subunit ribosomal RNA
Source: RNAcentral